Molecule: ribosomal RNA, 277 nt
Filed under: uncultured prokaryote
Description: partial 16S ribosomal RNA
Rfam family: Bacterial small subunit ribosomal RNA
Source: RNAcentral
GACGAACCGUCCAAACGUUAUUCGGAAUUACUGGGCUUAAAGGGUGCGUAGGCGGCUCUGCAAGUUGGGUGUGAAAUCCCUCGGCUCAACCGAGGAAUGGCGCCCAAAACUGUGGAGCUCGAGGGAGACAGAGGUGAGUGGAACUUGUGGUGGAGCGGUGAAAUGCGUUGAUAUCACAAGGAACACCGGUGGCGAAAGCGGCUCACUGGGUCUCUUCUGACGCUGAGGCACGAAAGCUGGGGGAGCGAACGGGAUUAGAUACCCGUGUAGUCCCUGA